This 717-nucleotide unclassified non-coding RNA is filed under the name Hevea brasiliensis (rubber tree). The record is from RNAcentral. Lineage: Eukaryota; Viridiplantae; Streptophyta; Magnoliopsida; Malpighiales; Euphorbiaceae.
UAGACUGGUGCCUCAUGGCCCUCAAAAGUAUAUUGCUUAGCCCCUGUCGCAGCAUCCCACACCUUAAUAAGCCUGUCAUCCCCACAGGUUACAAUACAAAUCUGUUUGUUAGGGUAGGAAAAGGCAAGAUCGUUGACACUUCCUGAAUGAGCCUCAAUCUCAAGAUGGUUUCUAAGAUCAUCGCCACCGUGAUAUGAAUAGACAUGCACAAGGUGCUUAGAGAAUGCAACACCAAACAGAGUACCAUCAGGACUCCACAUUACACGGUUAACUGCUGCAGAGUACUCACUUGCCAUAGAUGCCUGAAGAGCCACUGAACAUUGUGAAAGAUCCCAAAUCUUGAAAUUUCUGUUAGCAAUCCUCUCCCUAGAACCCAAUUCCCAAAGCAUAACCUCUCCUGUGCCAGUACCAACAAGAAGCAAAAUCUGCUGCACCGGAUGAAAAUCCAUACUCUUGACUGAUGAACCCUGAUUUAGAGUCAUGACAAAAGCCUUGGGCAAAUCAUCUGAUGAGUAGGAACUUUGCGCAUGGCUUUGUCCGGAGUAUCCACCAGGCAAAAUAUUGAUAGGCAUAUUAUUUACUUCAUCUGAUACACCAAAAGGUCUUGAUCUCUUUAACAUGUGCUCCGAGUCAGCUGUUUGAUAGUCUACUGCUGAGUUAUUUGUAGGAGUCCUCGGACGUUUUAGCAUAGCUGCUGCUGCAUUAUUUGGAGUGGUA